AUGAACGCUGGCGGCGUGCCUAAUACAUGCAAGUCGAGCGAACAGACGAGGAGCUUGCUCCUCUGACGUUAGCGGCGGACGGGUGAGUAACACGUGGAUAACCUACCUAUAAGACUGGGAUAACUUCGGGAAACCGGAGCUAAUACCGGAUAAUAUAUUGAACCGCAUGGUUCAAUAGUGAAAGACGGUUUUGCUGUCACUUAUAGAUGGAUCCGCGCCGCAUUAGCUAGUUGGUAAGGUAACGGCUUACCAAGGCAACGAUGCGUAGCCGACCUGAGAGGGUGAUCGGCUACACUGGAACUGAAACACGGUCCAGACUCCUACGGGAGGCAGCAGUAGGGAAUCUUCCGCAAUGGGCGAAAGCCUGACGGAGCAACGCCGCGUGAGUGAUGAAGGUCUUCGGAUCGUAAAACUCUGUUAUUAGGGAAGAACAAAUGUGUAAGUAACUAUGCACGUCUUGACGGUACCUAAUCAGAAAGCCACGGCUAACUACGUG
This 496-nucleotide ribosomal RNA is filed under the name uncultured bacterium. RNAcentral describes it as "partial 16S ribosomal RNA". It matches the Rfam family "Bacterial small subunit ribosomal RNA", at positions 29 to 507 of the family's 1533-position model. The record is from RNAcentral.